AUGAUAGAUAAAAUUGUUGCUGUGUGCCAAACGAAAGAAGACCAGCAAACAUGGGUAGAAAAAAUCCGUUUCUACUCGAAAAAUAUAAAAAAGACCGGAUCGCCAUCAAGCUACCCCAGCAGCUCAUUGCGACUGACAGCCCCUGCUCCGUCUCCAUCUCGAAGUAUCACUCCAGUAAAACAACCACGAGCACAAGUAAACGAGCUACAUGGAGUAUUACUGUCUUCGGCCUUUACUCCUCACAACCCGCUUUCGUCCCGUGAUGAAAAGUCUCCCAGAAGCCCUAAAAAUUGGGUAAGUACUGUUGCAAUACUCAUUUAUAAGCAGGGAUCAUGGUCUUUGUCUGUCUGCUUCACUAGGUGAAAAAUGACAUACUAUUGAAAAUGGAUACAUUAUAAGAUAACAUGAUUAUAUUAAGUAAAACUUAAUACCCCGGAUAGUUUGGACUAAGAAAAUCCAAAUCCAGCAUUAGUUUUUUAAAAAACCCAAUUUUUUUAAAAUGGCAGAUGUAAAAAUGGCGGACACUGGCGAAAAAUCUGAGAUAAUUAUCCGCAGUUUCCUCUGACAGUUGUCAGGAACCAAAAAGCCGAGUCUCGCAUUUUUUUCUAGAACCCUCCUAAAAAUGACCCAAAAGUUUGUCCCAUUCCUCGCAACUUUUGAACGGUUGUACCCACAGAAAUGAAAUUUGAGGGGUGUUGUUAAGUCAACAGGAGCUACUUUUUGCUGUAUCCAAAAUUUUGAGUGAAAAUCUUUGAGGGGCACAGGCAGCACUCAACAAGAAAUGUUCUAACAACAACUCCAUCUUCAGUCUCCAUGAGGACUGAACAGUGAAUCAGAACAGAUCAUUUUAUGCUUUGUACUUUUUUUUUUACUGCACUUGAAUCUUCCAAGUGUCUUGCAUAUAUUGAGCUAAAAAUAAUCCUCAAUGGUGGCGAAAAUAAUUUUGUAUUCUACCACAAAUUUUACUACAAACAAGCCUUUAAGCUUGAAUUUUGCUAGAUCCUGAUCAAUUUGUGUACAUUCUUAAAUGGUUCUAAGAUUCAUAAUACAGGUAGAUUGAAAAUAAACCGUAAUGGAUGUACCACUGUGGAAUACAUCGGUUAUAAAGUAACGUGCUACCGUAUUAUUCUCAAAACAAGCUCUUUGAUUAAUUUAAAUAUGACUCAAGACGUCAUUUCUUAUUUAUUUUAUCCUCAGUGUAUUUUGUUUUCAAUGCUUAAUUUACAGUCGAUUUGUCUUAUGAAGAAGAUGCACAAAUUCUCCGAGUAAUAGAAGAAUAUUGCACUUGCACUAAAACCCGCCACAAUAUCAACUCUGGUAAGUUGUCUUAUCUCUUUAUCUUUUUACACUUCUUGAAAUUCCUCAAAUUUGGUUUAUUCAUUCUCUCACACUAAUAAUCAGUUAAGGCUCUGAAAAGGAGAUGAACCUAGGUCAUAAAUGCAGUAUGAAAAAAACAUGUCUUUAAAAUUAAUUGAACCGAUUAUUUUCCAAAUGGUGUAAGCGCCAAAAUUGCGUUUGUGAGAAAAACAAGAAAACCGUUUCAUUCGCUUUGUUGACAAUCCUCAAAUUCCAAAAAAUGUAUAUUCUUUUAGAAGGCUAUUUUGAAAUCAGACAUAAUUGAUCAUACCAGAAAACAAAGAAAAUCAACCCCUCUACCACCAAAAUAGAGAUUGGUGCUUACAUGAUUUGGAGAAUAAUCAGUUCAGCGAUAGGAAAACAAAACCAAUCUAAAAAAUUUUUUUGACUUGCUAUUGCUAUUGCCUGAUUGCAAAUGAGAUUAAUAUAGUGAAGGGAACACUUACAGGAAAAUUCUACCACAUAUUCUGAGCAUGCUCAAUCAUUAAUAAAAAUGGUUUUUUCUACAUUAAAUAAAUCUAAUUCCAAUGUUUUGCUACAUCUCUAAUUAUGUACUCAUCUUUAACUUGUUUUCUCAAAACAUUUAGCCCUGAUUGCAAUGAAACUGUCCCUUUUUCUCAUGGAUUCCUAAAAAUUUAGUCACGUUCCUCUACUGGGAGCAUAUUACCAACCCAAUCAUAGUG
This 2039-nucleotide long non-coding RNA is filed under the name Bemisia tabaci. RNAcentral's name for it is "lncRNA ENSSSA2NGG007835". Lineage: Eukaryota; Metazoa; Arthropoda; Insecta; Hemiptera; Aleyrodidae. The record is from RNAcentral.